GGGCAAUUAGAGGCGGAGGAUCCCGUGUUGUGCUCGCCGAGGACCCCGAGCAGAGCGAGGCGACCCAGAAGGUCGCGGUGGGCGCUGGUAGAGGGCAGCGAUCCCAAAAGGGGCCGCACCAAGCCGCUGAGUCUAGGUCCUACGGUACCCGCCUACCGGAGAAGGAGGGAACGGGGCUGCGGUACUUAAACGAUCUGGACCGACAACCGGCGCUCGGGUCGGUGGAGGAACGCCGGCGUAGCAGACCUAGACCGGCUGAGAGAUCGGGCCGGCGUAGUAGCCCCAGAGCGGGCGCUCCUAGGUCCGGUGGGUGGGGGCGAGGGCAGACAGCGGCGAGGCCUAGGCGCGGUGGGCGCGAGGAGCUGGAGCUCGAAGCGGGGGCGAGCAGACAACGGCGAGGCUCCGCCGUCGCGUCGACCGGACUCGGGCUCGUCCUCGUCGUUGAGUAGAGUGGGUUCGGCAACAGGCACUCGGGUCGGUGGAGGAGGACCUUUCCCAAGGUGGUUACGUCGGGUGCUCUACUUAUAUACUCAUAUACUCGAUUACAUACAAAAUCAUCUAUAUAUGUUUAGUUACACUUAAGACUUGACUCGCUGGGUACUCAAGUAGAUAUGUUUAUACACUUAAGACUUGACUCGCUGGGAACUCAAGUAGGUAUGUUUAUAAGUAGAGCUGUCAGGUGACAAAUGAUGUCAUCAUCAAUAAAAUCAAAGGUGUGUAGCCAAUAAGACUUAAGGGUCAGUGUCCAUUGACGGUUUGGCGUGUUGAAUUAAAAUGUGAUGACCUUUUCCCACGUUCAAUACUAAGGAAACGACUUCGGACGUGCAGAGAUAGAUUUAACAAACAGUACUCAAAAGACUGAAAUUAGCUAGCGUCGUCGACCUUCUACCUCGGACUGGUCUCACCGUGGCCCGUCUGAAGAGGGGCACCCUUACUGACUCUCCAGCACGUCGAGUGGCGCACCGGACGGAUCCCAAAGACCACCGAUGUGCGGCCGGUACCCAGAGGCUUGUGGUACUUCCGCUGCCACGACUAAGCUAAACUAGGAGUUCCGGUGGGUACCUAGAACGACGUCCUCCACACAAAACCUCUUGGUUGGACUCUACGUCCACCCAAGAACCCGGCACGAGAAGAGCUCGUACUCCCGGUACUCCCCAAACGAGGAGACGGGGAUCCCGCUGGUUCUCCAGGACGGGGCUCGAGUUCGUGCAGGUGCGGCUGGGUGCUGCUGUGCAGGUAUUGUCGAGCGAGUUAGUCAUAACCGACACUGCAGCUACCUCUUGAUUUGGAACGACGGUGUGAGACGUUGUAGUUGUCCACGGAAGCAAGCCUGAGAUGCUUGUAUGGGCUUUUACCACAAGGGAGAGUAAAUGUCCUCGAGAUCAGACCUUCACUUCAUCCUUCAUAUAAGCUUCAAGUUCCGGCACAUCGUUUAUCAACAUACAAAACAGAUACACAUUAUCUGACAUGUAUAACAUUAUCUGAUACAUGUCUAAUAUCAUCUGAUUAAAUCACAAGAAACUACUUGACGUAAACAAUACAAGACAAACUUUAUUACUAAUACACUAAACUUUUUUAAUCACUUUACCUUUGGACUGAGCACCCUGGUUGAAUACUUUUAUUAGACUC
Molecule: ribosomal RNA, 1629 nt
Filed under: Triticum aestivum (bread wheat)
Lineage: Eukaryota; Viridiplantae; Streptophyta; Magnoliopsida; Poales; Poaceae
Description: partial small subunit ribosomal RNA
Source: RNAcentral